Molecule: ribosomal RNA, 773 nt
Filed under: uncultured Neocallimastigales
Lineage: Eukaryota; Fungi; Neocallimastigomycota; Neocallimastigomycetes; Neocallimastigales
Description: partial large subunit ribosomal RNA
Rfam family: Eukaryotic large subunit ribosomal RNA
Source: RNAcentral
UACACGCUGUGACUAGCAUAUCAAUAAGCGGAGGAAAAGAAACUAACAAGGAUUCCCCUAGUAACGGCGAGUGAAGCGGGAAGAGCUCAAAUUUGAAAUCUUAAAGGGUUUCCCUUUACGAAUUGUAGUUUAAAGAAGUGUUUUCUGUUGAGGUUUUGGUAAAAGUUCUUUGGAAUAGGACAUCAUAGAGGGUGAGAAUCCCGUAUUUGACCUUUACUUUCAACUUUGUGAUACACUUUCAAAGAGUCGGAUUGUUUGGGAAUGCAGUCCAAAAUGGGUGGUAAAUUUCAUCUAAAGCUAAAUAUUGGCGAGAGACCGAUAGCGAACAAGUACCGUGAGGGAAAGAUGAAAAGAACUUUGAAAAGAGAGUUAAACAGUACGUGAAAUUGUCAAAAGGGAAGCGUUUGACACCAGUGUUGUUUUUCUGAAAAUCAAUUAAAGAACUGUUUAUGCUAAGCUGUUUAGACUUUAUCAGCUAUCUGUUUAGUUUUGAGCUUUUCUUUAAUGCACUUUUCAGUUAACAAGUCAACAUCAAUUUCUUUUGCUGUAAAAAAGCUUGAGGAAGGUGGCUUGAGAUUCGUCUUAAGUGUUUAUAGCCUCUUGCCUAUGCAGUCGGAGAGAUUGAGGUCUGCAGCGUAGAUCCUUCGGGGCUAAAUGCAUUUGUGCUAAGUUAUAGCAUUUUAUAGACAACUUGUUGACUAUGAUUUGUCUUGUAGCUUACUCGCUUAUGUUAUUUUACCUACGCUUAGGAUGUUGAUAUGCAUGACUGAUAU